CAACAGUGGAGCAGCCUCAUUAAAUAUGGUUCUUCGUUCUUCUCAUUUUCUAAAAUAAUGCUCUCUCGAAGCAUUAUAACCAUCAAUAGAGGUUGCAACCAAGUCAAGCUUUGCUCUCCACCAAUUUUCUCUCUCCCUUUCGCGUAGUUGGAAGCAUCGUUGGAGAUUUCUCCAUCAAUUUCUCACUUCACAAACAGAAGAAAAAUCAAAACCGUAAAACAUUAUUUUUCACCACAAACUGUUCAAUCUCCGACAAGAUUCUAGUAGAUCUCAUCGUCAAUAUCUGAAUUGCUUUAUGAGAAACGCUUAAUCGAGAGAUAUAGUGCGGUUCAUCUCUUUUUAUCUACCCCUUUGGAAAACAAUUUCUAGGUUUUAUGUUUGGUUUCUCAGUAACUUACAUUCAAAUUUCAUUUUCUAGCUAAAAAGAAAAAGGAUAGUCAUAAAACUGUAAAUCUGAAAUUUAAAUGGUUCAAACUCGUGGAUAGCACAAGGAGCAGCUCAAGCGUUUAGUGUUAUCGACCGUCUGAUUUUAGUUUUAUCCGUUUCGGAAUGUAUAGGAAUCUGCUUUUGCUUGUUCUGGAUGCACGUUAGCAGGACUAACGGAAACCGAGUCUUCCCGUCGAGUCGCCGGCGUUCCUGUUCCGAUCAUCGCUUCAAACGUUUCUCCUCUGUUUCUAGUGUCUGUUUAUACUGAUGGAUUAGACAAAAUUGUUCGGCAGUUCAGAAAAUCAAGACCUAGAUUAUUUCCCCCCUAAAUCUUACGAUGGACACCUGACUGUUCUUCCGCCUUUGGAUGUUCUAGAAGCUGGAAUUUCCGAGUGGAAAAUGUCUCUCGUGGGUCAGUUCCUGGGAGUUUCACCUUCUUUUGCCUCUUUGCAAAGAAUCGUCGACAACAUCUGGGGAAAUGCUCUGCAAGGUUCACGAGUACAGGAUUAUGGGAAAUGUGUAGUUACACUUACAAGGGAGCCACUUACUAUGGAGGACAUCAUGCCAGUCAAAACUGAGAUGCGAAGUUUGUAGGUGCCUAUUUAGUUGAAUAUCCUUUUUGUUCGCUGCAUUUUGUGGCUGUAUUUGGUCAAAGUGCUUGCUGGUUGUAGUGUUUUUGGUCUCUAGUUAUUGUAACAGUUUCGCUCAUGUUGGUCAGGGAUGUGUACAGAUCAAAAGUGUUGGUUAGCGGGUAUCUCUUUUCUGGGUUGUAGUGUUGUUUGUAAGACGGUGUACCCUGUUCUUUUUAAUAUCUCUUCUUAUUUAUAGUACUACUCAAAUCAAAUGACAGUAGCAAAUUAAGUAAAUAUGCACAAUUGUGAGAAAUAAACUUCAGAAAGAAUAUAAUGCUAUUUUAGAAUGUAAUAAUAAAAACUGAAGUAGAGAGAUGAAUACAGUUAGGUUCUAUAUAUAUAUUCAUCUUAGACGUUAAAAAUCUAUACAUGUUACUAAGGCUAGAAAAAGGAAAGGAAUCAGAAAUCAAAUCCAUGCAAAUCCGUUCUAUGACCCCUCACAUAAGCUCUGUGAAUCAGCAUAAGAUUAUGCACAACCUAUUACAUAAAAGAGGGACCAGAAUCAAAUUUUUAAAGUGUGAAGCCCAUUUGACAAGUAAUCCAAGUUGAAAAAAAGACCCAAAAUAAUCUUGUCAAAAAGAAACAAUUACCAGUAUAGCAUUUUAUAGGGUGAGCUCGUUUUGCCCCAAGUAAUUGUGUUCCUAUGCUUUGUUCCAAGUAAUUGUGUUCUACUUCAUUUGGUAAUUGGCCCCGGUUGGCUCCUCGAAGCUCCUUCAAUCCAUAAAUUUUAACUAACAUAAAAGCUUUAGUUUUAGCCAUGCUGGAUUUUUUUCUUUAAAAUUAUCGAAUCGGGAUCUUUCAUGGUUCGUAUGAUAUUCAUGAUUAACUCGUGUAUCUGUUUUUCCCCCCUUAGAAAGUUGUAUACCACAUAAAGAAUACAUAUGGACUAGCCAGAGAUAACUAAGCACUGUCGCAUUGUCUCCGUACAGCCUCAUCGGAAGAAAAUAAUCCAGGAAAUAAUUCAUAGAUUACAAGCGUUCUACUUCAUUUAUUGACCAUUUCUUGUUCUCUUCAGGGAAUUCUUCUUGCUUUCUACAGGUCAAACAACCAAACAGCUAAAAGGAUUAUUUUCUACAGGAUAAUAUUGUUUCUGACUAUGUCCAAUUCCUUUUUUUUUUAAGCUUUGUUUCUGAUAAUUGGUACUUAAUCUGACAGAGAUGGUGUGAGUGAAGGUCAAUUCAGUCAAGCUUUACUCCAUAAAGUGGUUUCUAUUCGUAAAGUAUUCAAAGGGUUAUGUUUUGUGGUGUUUUGUAGAACAGUGUU
Hibiscus syriacus is the source of this 2321-nucleotide long non-coding RNA. RefSeq lists it as uncharacterized. The record is from RefSeq and is a predicted model, not a curated record. The transcript has 4 exons. NCBI's taxonomy places the organism in Eukaryota, Viridiplantae, Streptophyta, Magnoliopsida, Malvales, Malvaceae.